This 1532-nucleotide long non-coding RNA is filed under the name Sus scrofa (pig). RNAcentral's name for it is "lncRNA (ENSSSCG00025023921.1)". Lineage: Eukaryota; Metazoa; Chordata; Mammalia; Artiodactyla; Suidae. The record is from RNAcentral.
CAUUGAUUAGAUAAAGACUAAUUCUUACUGCUUUGCCUCUGCUAUAUUAAACAAAAGGACUCCCUUCAUUAAAUUAACAAGGGAAGCAACCUAUAAAAUUAAUUAGGGAGGAAAGAAGGGUAAAAUUAAUCCCAAUAAAUGGUAAGAGAAGGGUUUAUUUUAGUGCGACUUGGACAUUUUGCAAUUGUGAGGAUGUUUUAUAAGUAUCAUUCAUCUUGGUAAAGGAUUGAUACCAGUGGAAAUUGAAAAUGGUGAUGCUUCCAACCCUGAUUUUGUUUUAGCUGUAGUCUUAGAAUUAAGGCUUUUUCCUGCAUCUUUUGGUGUGACAGAGAAAGGAUGCCUGUCAAAAUCGAUCAAAAAGCUGGCAUUAAUUGGAAGCACGAAAUUCCUAAUGUUCUAAUCACACACACACACACACACACACACACACACAGAUUGUAAAAGUUUAAUGCUGUGACCUUCAAAAGCACAUAUUAUACAGCACAGAAAUCAACACCCUUCCUCAACAGCAACCAGGGGAUCAAUUAUCAGUGGCAUGAUGCCCGGAGGCAGGUCAUUGAUCAUUUCUAUUGCCUUGACCGUGAUUGCUGUUGCUAUGGUUAAUGAAUGUUAUUGAACCUGCUACCCAACCCUAAUGGUGAGCAUCACCCACGUCCUUGUCCCCAUUUUCCAAUAUUUCAGGAGAAUGGGGUUAGAAACCCAGGUUUAAAAGGUUGUCAAACUCUAGCGGGUUGGUUUUUUUUUGUUUUGUUUUGUUUUGUUUUGUUUUGAAUGACUUGUUUGCUGUAAAAGAUACUGCCAGAUAGUUUCAUGAAGAUCUUUGCCUUUAUAAAAGUAAUGGAAGCUCAAAUUCUAUGUGAAACAUUGUUUGUAUUUCAGUCUGCAGUAAAAGCCUAUUGGUCCACUGGCAAUAUUUUGGAGAACCUGGACUGGCCACUAAAUGUCCACGCGCUUGGAGCCUUUGGUUUCUUGAGAGAAAUGGAGAAAGAAAGGGGCCACGAGGCACCUGAUGCCCCAGUAUGUUGAUGUGUAGUUCUCAGAACUCUAGACAGCUUCCUGGCUACUGGUUCCUGUGGUUCUGAUCCUCCCUCGGUGUAGACUCAUCCAGCAGACAGCCUCGGAGGGUUACAAUCCGGGAGUCAGCAGGGGCCGAGGUCUCGUCGGAAGCGGGACUGGGGGAGGGUCUGCUUUCAGACGCGGUGCUUGUGGUCCCAUUCGGUUCCCUGGGUGUCCCGGGGAGGGCGUCCCCAACUCUUGCAUCACUUCCGUGACCAGGAGGCCCCAGAGCAGCGGAGCGAGGAGGAAGGACCCAGGGCACAGAUACUCCCACUGCCCCAACCCAGAGCCCGUCAACUGCCCGACACACAGCGAGCCCAUCGAAGAAAACAGGCCCCCGAGUCCAGUCUAAAUCCCACCCCCAAAGCCAGGAGCUAAGUAAAAACGUAGAUGUGAAGCCACCGGUCUGAGGCAGCUUGUUAAGGCAAUGUCGCUUUGUCGAAUAAAACUGAUGCACUUAUUAUUAAUCCUUCUCA